AUGCUGGAGGUAUCAGAAGUGCGAAUGCUGACAUAAGUAACGAUAAAGCGGGUGAAAAGCCCGCUCGCCGGAAGACCAAGGGUUCCUGUCCAACGUUAAUCGGGGCAGGGUGAGUCGACCCCUAAGGCGAGGCCGAAAGGCGUAGUCGAUGGGAAACAGGUUAAUAUUCCUGUACUUGGUGUUACUGCGAAGGGGGGACGGAGAAGGCUAUGUUGGCCGGGCGACGGUUGUCCCGGUUUAAGCGUGUAGGCUGGUUUUCCAGGCAAAUCCGGAAAAUCAAGGCUGAGGCGUGAUGACGAGGCACUACGGUGCUGAAGCAACAAAUGCCCUGCUUCCAGGAAAAGCCUCUAAGCAUCAGGUAACAUCAAAUCGUACCCCAAACCGACACAGGUGGUCAGGUAGAGAAUACCAAGGCGCUUGAGAGAACUCGGGUGAAGGAACUAGGCAAAAUGGUGCCGUAACUUCGGGAGAAGGCACGCUGAUAUGUAGGUGAAGCGACUUGCUCGUGGAGCUGAAAUCAGUCGAAGAUACCAGCUGGCUGCAACUGUUUAUUAAAAACACAGCACUGUGCAAACACGAAAGUGGACGUAUACGGUGUGACGCCUGCCCGGUGCCGGAAGGUUAAUUGAUGGGGUUAGCGCAAGCGAAGCUCUUGAUCGAAGCCCCGGUAAACGGCGGCCGUAACUAUAACGGUCCUAAGGUAGCGAAAUUCCUUGUCGGGUAAGUUCCGACCUGCACGAAUGGCGUAAUGAUGGCCAGGCUGUCUCCACCCGAGACUCAGUGAAAUUGAACUCGCUGUGAAGAUGCAGUGUACCCGCGGCAAGACGGAAAGACCCCGUGAACCUUUACUAUAGCUUGACACUGAACAUUGAGCCUUGAUGUGUAGGAUAGGUGGGAGGCUUUGAAGUGUGGACGCCAGUCUGCAUGGAGCCGACCUUGAAAUACCACCCUUUAAUGUUUGAUGUUCUAACGUGGACCCGUAAUCCGGGUUGCGGACAGUGUCUGGUGGGUAGUUUGACUGGGGCGGUCUCCUCCUAAAGAGUAACGGAGGAGCACGAAGGUUGGCUAAUCCUGGUCGGACAUCAGGAGGUUAGUGCAAUGGCAUAAGCCAGCUUGACUGCGAGCGUGACGGCGCGAGCAGGUGCGAAAGCAGGUCAUAGUGAUCCGGUGGUUCUGAAUGGAAGGGCCAUCGCUCAACGGAUAAAAGGUACUCCGGGGAUAACAGGCUGAUACCGCCCAAGAGUUCAUAUCGACGGCGGUGUUUGGCACCUCGAUGUCGGCUCAUCACAUCCUGGGGCUGAAGUAGGUCCCAAGGGUAUGGCUGUUCGCCAUUUAAAGUGGUACGCGAGCUGGGUUUAGAACGUCGUGAGACAGUUCGGUCCCUAUCUGCCGUGGGCGCUGGAGAACUGAGGGGGGCUGCUCCUAGUACGAGAGGACCGGAGUGGACGCAUCACUGGUGUUCGGGUUGUCAUGCCAAUGGCACUGCCCGGUAGCUAAAUGCGGAAGAGAUAAGUGCUGAAAGCAUCUAAGCACGAAACUUGCCCCGAGAUGAGUUCUCCCUGACCCUUUGAGAGUCCUGAAGGAACGUUGAAGACGACGACGUUGAUAGGCCGGGUGUGUAAGCGCAGCGAUGCGUUGAGCUAACCGGUACUAAUGAACCGUGAGGCUUAACCUU
This 1675-nucleotide ribosomal RNA is filed under the name Escherichia coli O104:H4 str. 11-4522. Its description in RNAcentral is "bacterial LSU rRNA". It matches the Rfam family "Bacterial large subunit ribosomal RNA", at positions 1270 to 2925 of the family's 2925-position model. The record is from RNAcentral. Lineage: Bacteria; Pseudomonadati; Pseudomonadota; Gammaproteobacteria; Enterobacterales; Enterobacteriaceae.